Ictalurus punctatus (channel catfish) is the source of this 19614-nucleotide long non-coding RNA. The record is from Ensembl. Lineage: Eukaryota; Metazoa; Chordata; Actinopteri; Siluriformes; Ictaluridae.
CUGGCCUUGUGCUUCAGCUUGAUGGUUUUCUGCCUCUCUGGAGACUCCCACACUGUGCUGUAUCUAUACUUCUGAAUCAAUCACUAUCUAGCAAGCUUCAAAGCACAAAGAGACACAGCGGCAUGAGAUGCACAAACACACAUAUACAUAGGUGUGCAAAUGCGCACAUGCAUCAAACAAAAUCUACGGAUCGUCGGAUUGCUCCCAUGGCAAGAGUAAAAACAAGUGGCGAGUAGAAAAACAGAUGGAACUAUACCGGGCUCCUCUUCACACUCAGGCAUGAGCAUGAGGAACGGGUGUCAUAUCCACCUCUGCCAUGAUUCCUCGAGCUGUGCCAUGAAACACAUCACACGUCAGACUGAAGGAGAGAACAACCUCAGAGGCCACUGCCACCCAUCUGUGGAAAAUCAGUGUGCUGUGUAUAUGUAUGUGUGUGUAUAUACUGUCACUGGGGCCCAUCAUAUUGGCAGAUCUGCACUUUGGAGGACAUCACCUGGCAUGUCUGUGAAUCCUGACGAGCAGACAGACACACUGGGAAUAUGUUACACAGUUCUUUCUCUAAAAGCUCUCUUUAUUGUAGGCUGCCUGCUUUCACUUUCACAAACACACACACACACACACACACACACUCACAAAAAUGGUCCCCGCUUCAAUGGCAUAUUCUUGGCUGUUCUAACACAUCCUACUGUUUGUCUGUAGCUGAAGUGAAAAAGCAGAUUCUCUUACAGUACAACAGGGCUUCAUUUCUCUUGCAUGAAAGUUGGAAAAGUUUGGAAUGGAGGUGUUUGGUAUCUCAGCGUCCACAGGGAGUGCAGGUUGCCUUAGUCUUUUUUUUUUCUCCCCCUUUCACUUUUCUGCCCUCUUUCCCAAUAAGAAUAAGAUAACACAAAGACCUGCUAUCUGGAGAUAAAAGUGAAAUACUGCACUGUGCUUUACUUUUUCCUGAAAAAAGAAAAAAAGAAAAAAAAAACCCUGCAGAACUGACUCUUGCAGUAGGUAAUGGAGUUUAAAAGUUAAAUACCUCUCCCAAGCCUUCCAAGGUCACUUACUUUGGCCUUAAAAGCUUUUUCGGUUGAUUUCUUUUUUGUGCAAAUUCAAGUGUCACCCGAGAAAAAAAAAUGAUCGGGUCUCUUUGUUUCUUGUUUAUUUCAGAUCAAUCCUAAGUGAUUCUGUUACAAGGCUUCUCUGGCGUUUUGUGGUUUCACAUGCUUUUGGCCCAAUCCAAUUGUGCUGGGGCUAACCAGCACCAGUUCUGGGAAGAUCUGUGAUUCAUAACUGAACAUGGCACAUCAAUCAUCAGAGAUUGACGAUAGAAAUCCCUCAAUCUGGCUGCUUAAUGUGAUUAGGGUAGUGCCAGUCAUUUUGAAGUUGUCCUUAUUUUCAUUUACAGGAUUUCAGAAAGAUUUUUCUGGCUAAAGUAACUGGAAAGUAAGGUUAUUAUUUUCAUUAAAAGUCAAGUACAUUUAGUGUCGACCAAGCUGUUUUGUUUUUUUGGGGGGUAUUAAAUCGUACAGAAUGAAAGGCACACAGAAGCACACGCACACACACGCACACACACACACACACACACACACACACACACACACUCACACACACACACACACUUUUGUUCCAGUCACUCACGGUUCAUUAUCAUGCUGCUUACAUCUCUUUGUCCCUUUUAGUCAUGAGAAUGAAGCUGUUCACUGUUCCAGAUUCAGGCAACACCUGGCCAGAGCCUGGUCACAUGACUCUGAGGUCAGGCCCACAGUUCCACACACACAAUGGCCGGCUUUGUGUUCAGGUGUACAGCAAGGCUCCCAUGUGAUACACACUGUGUGACACAGAAGGAGGGGGUAGAAUGUCUGAUCUGGUCUCGUCCUACCUCAAGACACACGGCUCUGAGUGUCUGAACCUCUUCCUGAUGCAAUUCCUUGCAAAUGGCACACUUACAUUACUCCUGAAUUGUGAAUUUGGUCUUUCUCCUUGGCUUAACUUAUUCUCAUUAUGAUUUGUCAAAAGUGUCAUUUUUUUUUUCGGGGGAGGGAACAAAAAGUGCAGCUAGACAAUAAAAUUCCAUCAUGGCCUGAAAUCCUAUUGCCAUAUGUGAUAUGUCCAUGUCAAUCAAAUCUCAGCAGCACAUUGUGGGUGUCAGAAUAAGCCUGGGACAUAUUUUAUUUCUUUAUGUAAAUUCUAUUUAUAUAUUCUAUCAUUAUUUCUUAGGAUUUAUUUGCCUACUGCAUAGGCUAGAAGGUAGAGUAAAGUGUCAUAUUGCAAAAAUACACUGUAUGUGCGGUAAUUCUCAUAACACCAGUAACAUGUCAGUCAAUCAAAGAUGACUGCAAUGUUAUGGGACGACAUGGCCAACAGAGAGGCAACAUUAAGUAAAAUGGGAAUGUACUGUAUGAACAAAUAUGAAUGGACCCUUUUAACUGUGAAGGUUACCUUACUAUGAUUUCAAACCAACAGGAAUCACAGUAGCUACUAAAUUAUAUAAAUGUAACAAUAACUUCAAGUGUAGCACUCUCUUGGUGAAAUAAUGAUUGAGCCACAUUUACCAUUUCAGUCGACCUAAGACUGAUCAUUUUAAUAUCCACCGUAUUAGAAAUUCCAUCAUCUACAAUUCAGAAAAACAAAUCACACACUGCAAUGUCCUUCUAGAAAAAUAAACAAUUUAUUGUAUAAAUAAACUUCAUAGUGCAAACAUAUUCAAGUAAAUUUUGAUCCAAAAUAUUUGUGCAAGGAGAAGGCUGUACAAUCACACUUUGCAUAGUGACUUCACUUGUAUACAACAUUCAAGGCAUGUAUCUUGUGUCAAUCCAGAUGCUACUGUGAAUUUAUUAAAAUUCCAGCUGCUAUAGUAUAUGGUCUGCACUCCACAAACCAAUACACAUAAUCUGGGAAACUCUCAAAGAAGACAAUUCAUCCAUCCCUCAGAUCCAGGGCAUAUCUAUAAAUGGGUUGAAGUCAUCAUCCAUUGAUGCUCUUAACCUGAGGAUGAGAAGAAAGAAUAUCAGUUACAAAUAAGCCCUAUGUACAUCAGUAAGUAUUUCCUCAAGGCAUCCCGCAUAGUUAAGGGUUCAUUGUCACCUAAAAGGGUUCUAGAUGGAACCUUUUGUGGUAUGGAACAUUUAAGGAUUUCCCACAAAGUGAUAAACAUUAAAGCUUUUAGGGCUCUAGAUGAACCCUUCAAAGUUCUCCAUGUUUUUCUGAGCUCAACAUUUACCAUUUACCAAUCUGUUUUAGAUAGAGUACUUACGGACAUAAGUGCAUUGAAGAAAUACUAAGUAGUUGUUUUUUGUUAAUAAAACAAAAAAACAAAAACAAAAAAAACAAAAACAAAAAACCCUAAAAAUGUGUACAUUUGUAUCAAUUUACAAAUUACCAUUAAGAAGACUGUAUUACACCUGUAUUAAACAUAUUUAAUGAAUAUUCACUCUAAUUGCAACUGAUGAGUGUCAUAUGUUUACCACCGGAGGUAGGACCAAGUCAUUGCUUUGCAAUGACUCAAGUCUCAAGUCUUGGCAUUCAAGUCCCAAGUCAAGAGUGAUGAGUCUAAGUCAAGUCCUUAAAUUUAUGUUUUGAGUCCUAAACAAGUCAUAAUGUGCUCUUUACCAAAUUUAAGGCCAGAGUAAUAACUACAUUUAUAAUUAUGUACAUUUAUACAAAUCAUGGGGUUUUUUUGUAAAAUUUCUGGACAAAAUGUAUUAUUCAGUGGAUAUAUAUAUAUAUAUACAGUUACGGCAAUGUGCCUCUGUCAUCUUUUCACUUUGUUGUUGUCUAGUGCAAGUUGAUUGGCUGUCGAACUGGUUGAACAAUGACCACAGAAACAAAGAUUGAUGCUGAUUUGCUGAAAAUUCAUUGUUUAUUUAGAAAAAAAGAAUAGUACAUUCACUGCAUACUUUAAAAUGUAUCAUUUAAAAUGUUUGGUUUUGAAUCAAGCCUUACAAAGUCAAAAGACUGGAGUUCAAGUGAAGUUACAUGUCAUUGUGAAAGUCAGCAAAUAUGUGAUUUGUGUCCAAGUCGAGUCCACAACACUGCUAACUGUUACAUUACGGUUAGCUAGAUCUCUGGUACGAGGUAGAUGAAAAGCCCAAGUGAUUGUUUUAUGUUUUUUUUUCUUUUAGCAAGAACAAUUUUAAGAUGUGCUUACACUAGGCCCGGUUGCGUUGUACCGUGAUCAAGCACGAUUGUCCCCACUUCCCAAUUCCCCACUGGCCUGCACUCACAGUAUACUUAACAUCCCGGGCCUGAGAACGCGUACGUCAUUAUGGUGCUGCUUUUAGUUUUGAAGAAAACAAGAAAACAGGAAGAAAAGCAUUCUCGCACAGCACAACGAAGCACAUCAUCAUGACGUUACUUAUCUUUAAACAUACUUUGUUAUGUUAGCUUUUACAUGACUUUUAUACAGUUGGUAUAUAUGCUUAUUUUUAUUAUUUGAAUCUAUACAUGAUUGUGUUUUUAUGUAAAGUGACUUGAAAAGCUACUUUUAAAGGCACAAUAUUAAAUAAAGAUUAUUAAUAUUGCAGUUUAUUUGUAGUCGUUUGGGGCACGGUGACAGCACAGCGAUUUUUGCUGCAUGGUAUCAGAAGAUUUUUCCGCAGGCAGCUGACAGUUGCAUCAGUGACAUCAUGUUUUGCGUUUCGUGCUCAGCCACGAUUAAUGAUCACACUAGAUGUGUACCGUGCCAGAGUCCAACUGAACCAUGCCUGAGCCCACCUCUUCAAGUGGGCCUGGGCACGGUACGGAGUGAUCAAACUAGUCAAGCGAACUGGUCUUUGGGAGUCAAAUGUGCUCGGGCAUGGUACAGAUCAUCUAGUCUUAGUACACCCUUAGUGAAUUUAAUCAGUGAAGUAAUAAGUGAAGCUAUAAGCUCGAAGAAUAUCUCAUUUUAAAUAUAAAACUUCAGUAACGUUCCAUACAAUUUGUCUUGUUUUUAUGACUUUUUCAAUGAAAGCAUGCUGAUGUCAACUUCUUCUCCCUAACUCUGUCUAAAUGGUUUGUUCUGUAAGCCAGGGGCCAUAUAUAUCAAAUGUCUCAAGGAUCAUAUUUCUACAGUCUAAUAGCAUUCAUUAAAAAAAAUCUCAGAACUUGGGAACCCCACAGACUUAUAUUUUAAGUUAUUCAUUAUAUUUUUAGUUAUAUUUCACUAUUGAAGGUCUUUUUACUGUUUUGGUUUACUAUCUCUACUAAUCCAGCACAAAAAUAAUAUACUGUACAGUUACUCUAAUAUAACAAAAACAUUUCCAGGUGCAAUUAAAUCACAUAAUACUGUAUCUUAUAUCAUGUCUCUUUGACUUAUGCAAAAAAACAUUCUAUUCAACCUUCCACGUGUGAAAAGUAUGCAUACAUAAAUCAUGAAUCUUAGAACUUAAUCAUGAGAGAUGCAUUCAAAAACUUCACUGCUUUGAGGAAUGAAAAAGAUCUCAAAGGUCUUAAGAUGCCAUGUAUUCACUGUCAACAAAGAGGGGAACAAUAAUGGCUGACAGGUGUCCUCCCCAUUUCAGGUUGCACUUUUGUUCCACUAUGCCCUGAGUCUUCUCACAUGGAUUUUCUUUCUGUGCCUACAACCUGAUAAGACGUUUCCUUUUUUUUUUAUGUGAGCAACAUUGGUCUGGGAGUGUCUUGCGUUUUAGCCUUCUGUUAACUUUGAUCAUUCUGUUUUCACAUAAGCAAGAAAGAGAAUUGAUAGGAUUUCACUCCCACCUCCUUCAACAGCCCUCUACAAGAGUAUUACUGUAUUAGGUUUCCACAUAACUACAUUGUACUAAGGAAAAUAUGCGAGAUCAGCAGAGAUGUCUGUGGGAACCUACAGAGAUGUACAUGGCAUUAGCAAGAUGCUAGCUGUGUUUUUGUUUUCUGAAAUAGUUUGGUCUAAACAGACCAUUUAUCAUUUGUGGCCCUGUAUUCUGAUCUACAUAAUAACAUUCACAGACAUCCACACAAAGCUUAAAAUCAAGUUACCUACAAUGCUGCUGCCACAGAAGUCACAGAAAGUCCUAAAUACUGCAGAGAAGUGGAGUUCUGGCUAAAACUUGUGUAAUAAACAACAAAAUAAGAUCUAAACCCACAGUGUAGAGAUUAGGUCCAAGUUUUAAGAGAUACUGUAACUCUUAAAAUCUCUGUGUAACAAAUAUAUAAAAGCUUACACAAAGCUUAGAGGUGCCUGUUGUAAGUUAUUUGAAGGUGAAUGGUACAACUAAUAAACUGACUAUUGUGUGUAUAUCUGAAGCCGAUAGCAGGAAUUAAUGUAAAAUGGGUGAUUAUGCAGAACAGGUCUGUUAGCAAGGAAUUCUAGACCUUGGAAUUAUAAGGUCCUCUCUGAUAAUUCUGUGAUUUUAAGAUAUUGAGCCAUAAAGUAUUGGCUCUCAAUAAGGUCUAAACAAAAACAAUUAAAAAAUUAUUCUCCUAUUCAUUCAUUCAUUCAUUCAUUCAUUCAUUCAUUCAUUCAUUCAUUUUUAGUCAGCACUUUAUCUGGACAGGGUUAUGGUUGAUCUGGAGCCUAUACCUCGAACAUUCGACAUGACACAGGAAUGCACUCUGAAUGGGACCCUAGUCCAUCACAGAGCACCAUGAACACACACAUUCAUACACUCAUCCACACCUAGGGGUAAUUUAGCAAAGCCAAUCCACUUACUGGCAUGUUUUGGGAAGUAAGAGGAAACCAGAAAACCUGGAAGAAACCCACAUGAAAAAAGGACACCAUACAAACUUCACAACGCAACGCAACUGUCUUAGACACCAUGCAACUGUGCCACCCUCAGUGGCAUGUAAUUCUGUACCACUUAUCCUACACAGGGCCGUGAGGAGUCUGGAGCCUAUCCUAGGGAACUCGGGGCACAAGGCGGGAAUACCAUGGAUGGGGUGCUAACCCAUUGCAGGGCACAAUCGCGCACAAACUACGGACAAUUUGGAAAUGCCAAUCAGCCUACAAUACAUUUACUUGCAAAUUCAUAACAAUACUCCUGACUGUAUUUGUAUGAAAUGCUAUGAAAGUUAAUGUGAAGGUAAUGUCUGUACUGUCUCUUAAGAUUUAAUUUCAAAAUUAGAUCUCUUUCUCAUGGCCUGUAAAAUAAUAAUCUUACAUGGAGAUGAAAACAGUCUCCACUGUUAGAAUUGUAUACUUAUUUCAGGUGCAAAGGUCAUUCUUUUAAAUCUGACCUGUUUCCGCAAAUAUAGUGUUCUUUGGUUUCCACUUUUGCCUCUUGACAUGGUUCCAAAUCUUAGCUGCUUUAAUGUUUCAACAGAUUUUGCAGAAGCAAUUUUUUAUAUCCCCAACCAUAGCAAUGAUUACACAAUAACAAAAAGUACUCCAGUCUGAUGGGAUGCUUUAAAAACCGCCAGCUACAGACUGUACAGUUCCUUUGGAAAUAGAGAGAAAAACAUAAUCUAGCACAGACUGAUUAGAGAUCGGCAUCACUGGGUGUUUCAUCAUCGUCUCCCUGGUGCUGACUCAGCACAAAGCGCAUAACAAAUUUAAGUGUGACCUGUGUCCACAUACUGUCUAUCACUCUAAAGUGAUCCACACACCCAAACCAAACUUCCUGACUAGCUGUUUUUAGAUUGCGCACACCCCCUGUCCUCAGUGAUCAAACUGCAAACUUCUAUUCGGUGCUGAGUGCUUCCAUUAAACUAAGUAGUCCUCCACAUUUAGCUUGCGUAGCAUUUUCUUCACAUAGCUGCUAAUAAAUAGCCCACUUCAGCACAGUGUAUGGCCUGCUCUCAAUAGGCACGUAAUGAUAUACAUUAUUCUAUAAACUAGCAUGUUAAUGUGAACUGUAUGGCAUAAAUAAUCAAGUGGACCUAUUAUCAGUUCUGAUGAAAUUUGUUUAGGUUAGGAAAUCAUGCUAGUAAUUGCACACUAGGGUCAGGAAGUAAAAGUCUCAGGAAUUGGCAGCAGUUAUUUGCUGAGUAGGUGUAACGUACAGUACAAGUAGCAAUAUUUAUGCACAUAUUCAACCAAGGUCACAGAAAGAUUUUGACAAACAACACAGAUUGAUUGUAAAUGUGAUUCCAUUGAUCUAAUAAUAGGAAGUAUCUCUAACGAAUGUUUAGCAUUGGUGGCACAGCUCACAUUCUUAAAUUUCUUAUACACUUUAUUUUAGCACGUCUAGACUGUGGAGAUUAAUUAUUUCUCUAAUGGCGCUCUAGCAACCCAGAGUGUGACCCUUUACUUCAUUUAACAUGAAUGAAAAAAUCUCAUACUAACCUUUACUCUCAGCACAGUGAGCAAUCCAUCUUUUAUUUGACCUCAUCUCCCAUCUCUCUUCACCUGGAAUAAGAAUAAACAGUAGCAUGUCAUAUGAAAGAACCGCAGAUGGCUCCAUAUUGCCAGUUGAAUCAGAUCAAACCUUCUAAUCUUGACCUACUUUUCCUCCCACAUAUAUCCCUUUUACCAAGGUAGAUAAACCCAUGCUCUCACCACACAUCUAACAAUAUAGAAGCAAAGUGCAGCAUGGCGUGCAUUCUGCAUCUCUCCUCAUAGCUGAGGUACACCGAAACAGUUUCAGCUAUUAUAAAUCAUUUACUGCACAGUCCAUUCCUGCUUUAAGGGGGUACAUUAGGCUAUACACUUAACUCUGGUUGAAAAUACUGUAUGCUCUUCAAGGAUCGCUUGUUUGUCAUUGUAUGUGUGUGUCAUGACCUGUGACCUGGUGGCUUUCGUGUCACUUGAGUAACUGCUUUUGUAUAUAUGUGUCUAUUAAUGAUCAUAAGACUUGGAGCGCCAUUUUCAUGCAGUGUAAUUUAGUGAUACUGUAUAACACUGGUAUAUUGCAGUUUUUUCCUAUUAUUACCCAGUUGCUAUUUUUGUGUUCAUAAAUAAACACUAAAAUGGCUGGCGCAGUGCAACAGGGGCUAUAACGUUCAAAAUCUAUCAUCAUAGUGAUAUUUUUUAAAUCCAUAAGGACCAAAUUCUAUUGUACAUUACUGCCUAUGGAGAUCCUGAUGCUAAAAUGGUAUUUUCCUGUCCAAUUUCUUCCAAGAUGGUUUAGCUGAUGUACACUAUUAAUGUCAUGUCACUUCAAUAUCAAGAGGCUUCUUAUCCAAAUAAUAACUAAAUAUAACUGAGUCAAUCAUUUUAUUUAUAUCAAAUAAGAUCAAACAGAUCAGCUCUGGCUACCAAAUGUGGAUCAGACAAUCGAGACAUAAUUACAUGUGGACUAUCGCUUAAUUAAUGCAAUCAACUGAAUGUCUGACAAAACUAAUUCAAUGCUAAUGGCUACAGAGACCAGGAGUUGGCUGAUAUAGAUCGUUCCAGAGGCUCGCACAUGUAAGUGAAAAAGAAAAUAGAAAACACAUUUAUUGUAAGUUUUGUCAGCCAGUUGGUUAUUUCUACCCCUACAAUAUUGCAGAGAAAUAUACAAGUGGAAUCUAAUAGUAUAUUAUUAUCGAAAUAUUACUGCACUGAACCGCAGUCUUUAAAAAGAGCGAGAUGAGAUUGCUGACAUUGUUUGGAUCGUCUACCACACAUUGUGGUAAUGUACUCAUACUAAUGAUGUGACUACAUUACACAACAUAAAGAUUAUAUAAUGCUGCAUUUGUUGUAUGAUCAGGUAUGUCAUGUGGUAGGCAAUUUAGGUUAUAAACACACUACUUAAUCUCAGAAAAACUCCAAGGUACCAGCAAAGACAGUUCAGCUUGGCAAAGAGACAGCGAGAGAAAAUUAGACUUGACGUAAACAUGAACACUGACUACAAACCUGUAAUAAUAAAGUGUAAGCUUUUAUUGUCGAUAUUAUACACCAUAAGUGAAAAAGAUCAAUUGUGUGCAUGAACAUGAAUUUAAAAAAACAACAACUUCUCCUGGGGAAAAAAGACAAAAAACAGUCUCGUCGUCAAUACAGGUUUUCAGUUUUAAUGUGAUCAGGACAUGAGACAACGGAGAGACAGCAGAUAUGCAUGCAACCCCCUCUCUCUUUCUUUGCCUGCUCUGCCCUGGGCAGCAAUAGUUUGGUAUUGCCAAGGCAAGCUGGAUAGUUACCAUGGAGAUCUGUAUAAACCUCGACUCCGCCACCCUACAAGACGGGUGAGGCCAUGCAUUUGGGCGUGCACACACAUACACACACACACACACACACACACACACACACACACACACACACACACAGAAACCCACACAGGUAGUCACACAUCCCUGUCUUGUGCCAGAGGCUCCAAUUUUUUAUAUGUGUGUAAAUUAACUCAUGUUUAUCUAAAGAAGGAGAAAAUAGCCCUUCCUCCUAAUAGCUUACUCACUAUAACCAAGGCUGAGGGAUUACCUAUAAAACCGAAUAGUGGAUUUAAAGGAUUAUAACUAUUAAAAUUAGCAACACUUUUAAAAGCACAAUUAACAUUUUGGACACAAUUACAUACUCUGUUCUCUACACCUAAUUUUAACAUUUUCUUUUGUAUUAAAUGUUUUUUAUUUUUAGUUUUUUUUAAUGUGGCUGUGAUUAAAAUUAAACGUGUGUGCAUUGUGUGUGUGUGUGUGUGUGUGUGUGUGUGUGUGUGUGUGUGUGUGUGUGAGUAUCUAGGGACAUGUGGAGUUCAGACCACAGUUCAUCCAGAAGUGAUUCUUUUCAUUAGCUAUUAUAAAUAAUUUAUCAGUGAGGCUGUUCUCUACAAAAACAGCACUUGCAGUUACAUACACCAUGUAGGCCACACACACACACACACACUCUCUCUCUCUCUCUCUCUCUCUCUCUCUCUCUCUCACAAAACCCAGAGGCAGUAACUCCCACAUAGAUAUUUUGUUACCAUCAUUCAGCACUUUUACAGAAAAGUCUUCAACUGCAGUAAGUACAAACAUCCUGAUCACAUUCAUUACCAUCAUGUAUAGUACCUUCAGUAGAGAGACAGCACAAAACAUCAAGGGUUAAUAUUCAAUCUUGCAUCUACUCCUCUUUCUGCCUCUUUUGUAUAUCCAAGAUGGAAGCACCAUUCUCGAACGCACACGCUAAAAAUAAUCCUCCAUGAUUGGAGGGAUGAAGUGUCAAUUAUUCUUAUGCAAAUGUGCCCAGUUUCUCACGUUUCCAAAGAGAAAGACCACAGAUGGCUACACAGAAAUCUCUGCGCGAGGCUACCAGACAAAAAGAGCUUGCAUAAUAAUGUGACGCCGCUAUUUGCAUGUCUGUCUUCCGCCGCAAUGAAAAAUCAAGCACAGCGGAGAGGGUUCAUGCAAUCGUAAGUGCCUUGAAAACAGACAAUAUGGAUGCGCUCAUUAAAAGGAUAGCUAAUUUACAUACAUCGAUGCAAAAAUAGCACAUUAGCAUGCUACAGUUCUUUCCUAAUACUUGAUUAUAAAAAUGUUGUUGUUGUUUGUUUUUUUUUUAAAGACGAGAUUUUCGUUCUCUUCUUAUCCAAUAAGCAUGCCAUUGAGGAAAUCUUAAGGAAAUCUGCACCCAUAACCUUUCUACCCUUCAAAUACAUUCUACAUUGAAUAUGUGACCUAUUUUCUCACGUGUGGAACGUGUGGAUGACGUGUGGAACUACUCAGACCUAAUUACACAUCUGAAGCGUUCGUGUUAAUCGAAGCAAAUCUCCUGCACCUGCCAAUCAAGCGAUUUCAUCUUGAGAAAGCAAACCCGGGUUUGGUAAAAUGUGUGCAAGAACAACAGAAUUGUAAAAAGGAAAAAGGAAGACAAACAGUGAAAGAGAAAGGCAGGGGCAUGAGCGAAAGAACAUGAAGCUGCUCUGCCAGUGUGACCCGAACAAGUCGCUAAAAUGUGAUUCCUGACAGUUCGCUCACACUCGGCCUAAGAGACAGCAGCCUCUUUGCUUUCACACUAAAAACCAUGAUUUUGUCUCAGACAAGUCUGCCACCUGACACACCUGCUGUGGAAGCUCGAAACUAGAAAGACAAAUAUGCGGAUAAGCUCCAGCAGGCUAGAGUGGAAAUGGUGGACUGUUAGCUUUCAGCCCGAGAAAGAAUGAGAAUGAUAGCAUGUCACGAAAUUAACGUUCAAAACAAUGUAAUACUGUAUUAUGCAAAUUCUAACAAGCAAAUUUCAAAUUAGUUGGAAGAAGACCUAUCGGUUUAACCCAGGUCCUCGUACUAAGCUAAGCAUUAGCAACUUUUCCUCUGUCUUUUUUUAAUGUAGGAAAGAACAGCCUGGUUUAAAUGUUUUCCUAGUAUGAAAUGUUUAAACACGAGACAGGAAUAAAGGAAUGCUGACCUUCCCAGCUGAUGCUGUACUGGAAAAUGGGGAAAGAACAUGAUAAAAAAAAGCUUUUCAGCUCCCAAAGAGUGGAUCAAGAAACCUGCUGUGGCAUCCUGUUACAUGGUGACAAUGGAGCUCUUUCAAAAUGAGUCGAAACAUUGCAGCCAGGUCGUCAAGUUCUGCUGAUUGUCUCACACAGGGUCAAAAGCGACAGGAGAGAAGGAGUUUGUGGAGUUAUCUUAGACGAUAAUGGCCGUCUCCGGUUCGAGAUAGGCUUGCUGUGUUAACUUUGUUUUGACCCUUCUGUCUCCUAAACUAUUGUUGUCCAAAGAGUCAGAGACCUGUCAUACCAUUUAUGCCAUAUAACCAUCUGGAUGUUGGACUAUGUUACCAAUUUUGGAUUGACUUCUGCACUAAUAUUGUUAUUACAAAACGAUGACACGUUAGAACCGGUUUUAAGACAAUUCAUCGUAAGAAUUUUCUUGAAGUCAUCAGAUCCAGCAGGAUUAAAAGAAACUAUUAAUCAUUCAGAUUUUUGAAGAAAUAUGAGGCACUCAGAAUGAUAAUCGAUUUUAAAAAUCCUGUAAUAUUUCUUGGCUACUCAGUCAUAGUUAUAGUUAAAACACAUGCCUACGCUUUUCAGCCAUUAAUGCCUUCAUCAUGGUAAGUGACUUGCUAACAUCUAGAAGAAACAGCCCAAGAGCACCCAUUUUGACUUGCCUUGAUGAAGGCAUGUGUUUAAACUGUUACUAUGACUGAGUAGCCAAGAGAUAUUAAAGGCUUUUCUGAGUGCCUCAUCGUUCUUCAGUAAUACACCAGAAGUAGGAUCCCCAUACCAAAGCGCACCAGAGGGAUAUGUUUAUCUACACCCGAGCAGCACUCUAUGCAAACGUUUUUGAUAAACUAUUAAUCAUGUAUAUCCUUAGCUAAACUUUCUCAAUGUAUUAGAAAACCGUUUUACAGUAUUAUGUGGAAUCUUUAGAUAAUUCAUUUGAGCAUUCCCAAAUAAAUCUUAUUUCACAAACAUCUUUAAUCAUCAUAGUCGAACAUUUGCAAUUUAUAAUAAUUCCCACAGUGAGGUUAAGGUUGGGACAAGGCUAAUGUAGUUUGUACGUUUUCCUAACACCUUAUUGGUAUCUACGCACUCUGUCCUUGUUUGAAUUCAUACAAAUAAAUGCUCAUGACAUCAUGUUCCUUUAGCACAAUGGCUUACUCCAGGUCAAGGUCCAGUUACAAAGGUCUGGAUAAGCAACUAGCAUGACCGAAUGGCUAUAGCAGUUACCUUUUAACACUUAACCGUGUCAUGAAAGUGUGUGAAAUCUCUCUCCUUUCUGAGCUAAUGUCUUUAGCCCUGUAGCUAGUCUGUGGUCCGAUGAGCUGCUUUCAGCUAAAACAUUUACAUGAAUGCAUGUCAUUGGAUAAACCGUAACAGAGGAUCUGCUAGAGCUGCUGGUUCAAAACUAGCAUCGGUGAACUACACCCAGUUUUUUCAUACAUUUAUCAGGUCUGCUACAGUAUUUCUCAAGAUCUCACUGAAAUUUUUUGCUGGUUUCAUAUCUGGACCACGGUCCACUAGUUGAUAUUCCAUGGCUAGUUGAUUACUAUUAGCCUAACAUGACUCAGAUUCUGAACUAUGGUAUUAAUCAGUCUGUAUAGGAUUUCAUGGAGUUUUUUUUAUGAUUGUUGCGGCCAAAAAUGCUUGAUUUUGCUGCAGCUUUUUUCAAGAUUUGCAAUGCAACUUGUGGCGUUAUUGGUGGGUUUUUGAAUUGGCGAAACUGCAAUUGCAGGAAAUUAUUUCAAACGGUCUUUCACAGUGAUGAAAUGAGACCUUUCAGCUGUACUCAUGUUCGAUGCAUGUGAAUCGAAGAGGGCUUUGACUGAAUGCACGUUGUGAUGAUGUCACAUGAUGCCCAAAUCUGGAGAAAAUCUGCGGUAAUUUUGUACAAUUGCAAGCUUCUCUGAAUAUUGUGGGUUUUGUGUUCAUUUCUGCGAAUCGUGAAACCCUGGAGGAACUGUUUAAUACAACUGUAAAAGAUCAGGUUUGUGACCUGCUCAAGACUGACCCAACUAAUUAUUCAUUAUUUAGGCUUAUUCCUCACUAGCAAUACUGUAUCCAAUGUAGCAGAUAUAUGCAUGGCCUAGAUACUGUCACCUCCAUGAUGGACAAAAGCUCACACACACUCAGAACUCUGUAACCCAAUGUCUUUUAUUUUCACCUACACCCCCACUCCUGAAAAAAAAAAAUGUGUGUCUCUAUGUUUGUGUGUGUCAAACACAUCAAAAACCGUAAGGUGAAUCCUUUUGAGCUGGCAGCACGGUUGGCCACAGGAUGAAUAAACAUCCAUGUCAGGGGAAACUGAUACACUCCCUUUUCAGCCAGACGGGCCUCUCGUGGGAAAAACAGCUCAUACACAAUGGACAGAGACGGCCUUUUGUUGAGGCUCUCAGAGAUGUGGGCUAGCUCUUCUCUCCAGCCUGUGCCAUGAACAGACCACUCCCCUCAGCUCUCACAGUGACUCAAACACACACACACACACACACACACACACACACACACACACACACACACACACACACACACACACACACACACAGUUUGUUCCUUCCUUCAGAAACAACAUACAAAUCUUUUUGAUUCUUCUUUGCAAAGAAAAGACAUUAACAAGAAAAAAAUGUUAGGAAUAGGAAAAAGAACGAGCGAGAAAGUGUGUGUAGCUUAGCCCAUGCUUAAACCACCCCCAGAGGGGGUUUAACACCAGAUCUAAAUCCUUGAGAUAGUGUCCUGCCAUGACAUCGCUCUAAAAAAGUCCACAUGCUAGAGCCCACAGCAGGUUAGCCUGGGGGAAUUUAUGUACUCCUUUGACCAAGAUUCAAAGAUUUUAGCUUUAGACAGCUGAGGGUUUGGGGGUAAGGGGGAAGGUGGGGGUAUUUCCUCAUUGGGUGGGUUGCUCAAUCUUUCAGUCUUCAUACUGAACCUGAACUUGACAUUGAUGAUUUUCUCUCUUUUCUCACAAGAAAUCACACUGGGUCAUUUCCUUGAAGGAAAGAGUUUGACCACAUACCUUGUCAUUUUAUAUUUUUAGGAUUUGGACAGUCAGAGGAGAAAAAAAAAACAUCCUUUAAACUCCAUUUAGAAACUCACUCCAUAUUCUUCUUUUAUGCUAAUUUCAUUUACCAUUUAAAGCAUUGCCACUAAUCAAUACACUAUUCUCAAAUUACUGUUAAUAUUGACAUCUUAAUUGGUCUGGACUACUCUGACUUGAGAAAAGUUGGCUCUCUUUUUUCCCCAGGCAAUCACAUAGACACCUUCUCUCCCUUGCCCAAUUGUUUGCUUUCAGCUCCAAUUUGGGGCACAAUAAAGUUGUUAUGCAUGGCAGGUUUGGAAAUGGACGUGGCUCGAGCUGGUGCUAGAGUCUGGCUCAGUUACUGGGCCUGCGAGGAGGAACUCACAUGCUGAUGCUGAGACGUUCUCAGGCUGAUAAAAAAUAAUCAUAUUCAACUCAGAUGUUGAAAUCUGGGGACAUGAACAAAUCUUCUUAUACACCAUUGCUCUAUGGAAGAGACUUUUAAAAAUAUUACUAUUACUGUUCACAGUCUAUAUGAAUCCUCUGUUCAUAUGUAUUAUAUUAACAUUAAUACUAAUGUUAUAUCAGUAACACUUUCUAUAAAGGCCAUGUGUAUAAUGACAUCCAUAAACAUGCUAUAAUGCAUAUCAUCAUAUGUCAUAGCAGGCUUUAAAUAAUGGGAGCAUUUAAAACAAACAAACAAACAAAAAUAUUUUAAAGUGUGAAUAAGAUAUCAAGGAGAAACCAAAGGUGAAUGUUAUGAUAUAGCAUAUAUUAUAACAGAGACUGUGGAUUAUUGUGCAUAAUAUUCUUACAAACCUACUGUAUAUUAAAAUGCAUUAUGUAAUUCGACUCGCCAUUUAUAAAAUGCUUGGAAAUGGUAUCUAUGUUAUAAUAACUACUUAUGUGCAGCUAUUUUAGGCAUUAAAAUAUGGUAUUAUGCAUGCUAUAUAAUAUGCUAUGAAUGCAUUUAUACUGCAUGCACAAUUCAUAGGCAGUGUUUCGGUAUAACUAUAUUUGUGGAUCUUUUUAAUGUUAAACUACAAUAAAUAAUAAGCAACAGACAAAGUAUUUACCAGUAAAGCAAAAGUAAGUUGUUCCAAAGCAUGCUUAUUGGUGAGUUUAAUAUGGUAUUUGCUCUGUUACGUGUGCACAGAAGAAAGUGCUUUUGUGGGGUCCUGAAAUCGGGUGACCAUAUGUGCGAGCGUUCUGUAUCUUUCUGCUACACCGCCUCACACAAGGGGGACCACCAUAACUUAGUUUGUCUACCAUACAAAGUUUCAGCCAAGCUUGGAUGGACUCAUCAGACGUCUUUUCUUUGAAACCAAUGAAGCUCAAAAGACCUCCAACAAAGGAGCUAAUCACUGCCUCUUUCCUCAGGCCUAGUCCCGGUUUCUCUUUUCACCAGCUGAGCCUUAGAUCAUUUCUCAACGCUAGCUGGCCUGUUUAGCGAUCUGACACGGCUGUGGCUAUUGUUUCUCUUUCUUUUGAUAUGACUUCAUGAAGCUGUGAAAUGUUUGUACAUUUCAUUUUAAUGUGCACUUGGAGCGUGCAUAGUGUGUUUAGAGAUAUAUUCAGACAUGCAUGUUAGGUCAUGGACAAGUCAGGGUAAAAUCCAUCCAUCCUCCUACACAUGUUUACAAAGCACUGUGAGAUCUGGUGCAGAGGGUACUGUGCCAUGAGAUACCAAUUUGCGUAUGGCAAUACGUGGGACUGUGUGUCAAGGGCUGGAUGUUUGGUGUGUGUGUGUGUGUGUGUGUGUGUGUGUGUGUGUGUGUGGGUGUGUGUGUGGUGGGUGUGGGGCUAUGGCAGACAAUGCAGCCCCAGGCUCCUCUAUUCUGGCUUUGACCUUGAACCUCAGCAGCCUCCAUUCCCAUGGAUUCAGACUCUGUGUGUGUGUUUGAGUGCAUGUUCUCUCAAUCUCUGCUUCAUUUCUAAUCCUGCAUACAAUCAUCCAGUGAAUAAAGCACCCAAGAAGCAAAGUUGUUCUCUUCUCACAACCACCUACAGAGCCUGAUCUCGCUCAGAGCUGGUAGCUUAGCUACAACUGCUAAUGCUACACCACUGAUCUUUGCUCCACACUCUUCAUGACCAGAAAGAGGAAAGGGAAAAACAAAUGAGAUUUUUUUUUUCUGUCAGUGAUCAGACAUUGACAACAUGUUAUAAAUGAAACCUGAUGAAUAGAUCUGGUUUGAUUUCAUGUGAAUGAAGUCGUAAUAAGUAAUGGGGCGAAUAUUUAUAUUCUAGCUGACUUUCAUAUGGAUAGAAUUAUUAAUUAUACUUAAAGUGAACUGUAAGCAUUGCACAUGAGUGCUUGUUCAGACAUGUCUGGAGAGCACAUUCAAUUAAGAAAAUUAUUGGCAUAUUUUAUUAAUUACCAAAUGGUAAGUAUGAUAAAAUAGUCUAUAUCCCACACACACAUUACGUGGCCACAGUAAUUUUUUUAUUAAUUAACAUUAAGCCCAUAAUCUAAAAAAAAAAAAUUAUAAACAACAGUAGAUUCAAUAUUUCAGCCAUGUUUAAGUUUCACACUUUCUGCCACUGUACAUGAAAUUCAUAGUGCAAACAAUAGUAUGCGCUGGAUCAAGUGCUAUUCUAUAAGAUAAAGUGAAGGUAGACGCCACAUUGUUAAAUUAAACUAAAUAUGAUGAUUACAGUUAGGAAUAUUCAUGCAGCAAUUUAUUGGCAAUAUACCAGACUAGUUGUUUAUUAGAAUGCUUGCCUUCUUCUCAUUCAUAAAUCCUUGUAUUAGACUUUUUAAAACUGCUUUCAUGUUACAUCACAUUGCAGUUCACAGCAAAUAAUUGCAUUUGCUUCUUCAGUCUACAUUUUUUUAGGCUUAAAGGCUUACGUUUAAAGGUGGCACUCUAGAUGGUACUGAAAAAAAGUCUUAUAAGCUGACUUUGACUAUCAACAUUGCCUUCAUAAAUUAAGAGUUCAUUUCAACUCUGAAUACACCCUAUUGGUAUUAACUAAAGCUAAAGCUCAGGGAUAAUUUUGAGCCGUUUGUUACUACCUUUAUUUUUAUCUGAUGGAAACCAUGCAUACCAUUUAAGGCAACCAGGGGUACUUAUUUUUGUGAGUUUUUGCACGAUUUUAGCUGUUCAUACUUGGUACAUACUAUGUCUUAGUUCUGACAACUAACUACUGUAAGUAGUGUAAUAUUUGGUAAUGCUUUACAUUAAUAUUUCCUUAACUGGCAUUAUUUAGGCAUUUGUUAACUAGGGUGCCCGUUUUCCAAAAAGAGGACACCACUUUUUUUUUUUGAUGGAGGGGUGGUUUAUUAGCAUUCAAAACAGUGUUACUAUGAAUGCAGACUUUAAUACACUGAAAAUGACACACUAUUAGCAUCACAUAAAUAUAUAUAAAUGAGAUUGGUUUCACUCUGCCCACAUGUUAAUUUUUUCCUACAUUCUUUUGAAUGUCCAUGGAAUAAAAUAAAACAUCAGAUGCCACAAGUGUACGUUCUUCCUCUUAUACCAUUAUUCACACAUUUGAAUAGCCAUGUAAUAUGAAGUGUUACAAUGUGAUAUCAUGAAAUUAAAAAUGACCUUGUAUGGCCAUGGACAUUGAUUUGACUCAGGACAGCUGUCAUUUGCUGCUUCUGUCAAGCAACUGUCUGAUGCUGUAUACAACAGUGCUUCACCUUCGCACGUUUGCUGAGAGUAGGCUUGGUUGAGAGGCAGGAAUUUGGCCAAUAGUUGCUGCAAGCCUUUUAUAAUCGACCAACUGGUGUGCGAGAAAACGGGAAUUACAGAGAGGGGUUAAAGCAAUGCAAAUAUGCGCACACAUGAUGCAAUAUUUCUCCAUAAGCACAUCAUAAACUAAAGCCAAAUCCCGGACAUUUCCUCAUAUUUAGAAAUCCCGGUCGGAUGCUUUUUUAAGGUCCGAAAAAGCGGACAUGUUGUAGAAAAAGAGGAUGUAUGGUCACCCUAAGUUAACGCAAAUAGCCUUGUCGUUCGACACCACCAAAUAAUAUUAAUACAGUAACACUUAAAAUGUUUGAUAUAUAACAAUAAACCAAAUAAUCAUGAACCUGCAUAAAGCAAUGUUCAUAACAUGAUUUUCUCAUUUUUGCGAACUUAUCUUUAACAUUACUUAUUACAUGUGUAUUUCAUUAACGUUUAAACAAAUUUCAAUAAUACAUGUCAGCUUUCUUUGCUUAUUAAUUAUGACGUUCACUACUUGUUCAAUGUAUUCGAUGCAGUAAAUAAUGUUACUUAAGUGGAAUCUUAAAUAACUAAUGUAUGAAAUUGUAUGACAUUUGUAUGAAAGUUCAUGUACUAUAAUAAGGGCCAAACUGAUUGUUUUCUAUAUAUAUAUAUAUUUUUUAUAAUUUAGAAUUAUAUAAGAAUUUACCAUUACCUAUUUACGAUGCUUUAUUUAGUUAACCAUCUGUAUACUGAAUACUAAAACAAUGACUAUCACUCA